UGGAGACCAGGCAGCGAGGAUGUCCAUCCCUGGGGCGGUGAUGUCAGGCUGGUAGUAAGUAGUAUCAAUGAAUAAAUGAAACAUAGCAUAUGUUGGACUACUGAAUACAAAAUUGUGCUAUGAAUAGAGACACAUAAUGCAUCACUUUGAGAAUGUCUGCAGAGAUGGGGUUUGGUCCUCUUGAAGAGAAAGAAGCCACAAUUGGAGCCGAGAUGUCCUUAAAGCUGGUUUCAGCAACCAUGAUACUUGCAACUGGACUUCUGCAUGCAUUUUAAGUAAUGUUUGGAUCCAAGAUCAGAAUUUAAGUCAAGAUGGUAUUUAGAAAAUAUAGAAGUAUGCUAAUUUCGUACUCUCUGUUUUUGAUAUAAUCCAAAACUUCGACACCAUCUUCUGCGCUGAUCGCUAAAGCUGGAAAUGGGUAAUUGUAGGCAACGUCAUAUCCUGUGGAAUGCGCGAUGAUGGUACCCAGCAGUAGGAACCAGAAUGUUAGUAGUUGAAGGGGGAACACUGCAGAAGACAAUC
This 522-nucleotide long non-coding RNA is filed under the name Coffea arabica (coffee). RNAcentral describes it as "long non-coding RNA (CARA_LNC005798)". The record is from RNAcentral. Lineage: Eukaryota; Viridiplantae; Streptophyta; Magnoliopsida; Gentianales; Rubiaceae.